GUCGGGGGCGGGCAGGGCCAGCGUGGUGGCAUGUGGCCGAUGCCGGAAGCCGAGUGCUGGUUGCAUCCCGCGGUGCGGGUCCGGGCGUCGGCG
RNAcentral lists this transfer RNA (93 nucleotides) under Winogradskya humida. Its description in RNAcentral is "Actinoplanes humidus tRNA-Ala". Lineage: Bacteria; Bacillati; Actinomycetota; Actinomycetes; Micromonosporales; Micromonosporaceae. The record is from RNAcentral.